UACGUAGGGGGCAAGCGUUGUCCGGAAUCAUUGGGCGUAAAGAGCGUGUAGGCGGAUCCGUAAGUGCCUUGUGAAAUCCCACGGCUUAACCGUGGAACUGCUGGGCAUACUGCGGGUCUUGAGCCAUCUAGGGGCCUGCGGAACAAGCGGUGGAGCGGUGAAAUGCGUAGAUAUCGCUUGGAACGCCAACGGAGAAAUCAGCAGGCUGGGGAUGUGCUGACGCUGAGACGCGAAAGCCAGGGGAGCAAACGGG
This 253-nucleotide ribosomal RNA is filed under the name uncultured bacterium. Its description in RNAcentral is "partial 16S ribosomal RNA". It matches the Rfam family "Bacterial small subunit ribosomal RNA", at positions 524 to 776 of the family's 1533-position model. The record is from RNAcentral.